This 991-nucleotide ribosomal RNA is filed under the name human gut metagenome. RNAcentral's name for it is "bacterial LSU rRNA". It matches the Rfam family "Bacterial large subunit ribosomal RNA", at positions 1938 to 2925 of the family's 2925-position model. The record is from RNAcentral.
AACUAUAACGGUCCUAAGGUAGCGAAAUUCCUUGUCAGGUAAGUUCUGACCCGCAUGAAAGGCGUAAUGAUUUGGGCACUGUCUCAACAGCCCGCCCGGCGAAAUUGUAGUACCGGUGAAGAUGCCGGUUACCCGCGACAAGACGGAAAGACCCCAUGGAGCUUUACUGUAGCCUAAUAUUGGGUUUCGAUGUUGCAUGCACAGGAUAGAUGGGACACUGGGAAGCAAGUGCUUUGGCGCUUGUGGAGUGGCCGUUGGGAUACCAUCCUUGCGAUAUUGGAAUUCUAACCUGCGCCUUUGAAUCAAGGCGGGGGACAUUGUUAGGUGGGCAGUUUGACUGGGGCGGUCGCCUCCUAAAGAGUAACGGAGGCGUUCAAAGGUUCGCUCAGCUUGAACGGAAAUCAAGCAAAAGAGUGCAAACGCAGAAGCGAGCCUAACUGCGAGACUGACGGGUCGAGCAGUAACGAAAGUUGGAGUUAGUGAUCCGGUGGUAUGUGAGUGGAAAUGCCAUCGCUCAACGGAUAAAAGCUACCCUGGGGAUAACAGGCUGAUCUCCCCCAAGAGUCCACAUCGACGGGGAGGUUUGGCACCUCGAUGUCGGCUCAUCGCAUCCUGGGGCUGUAUUCGGUCCCAAGGGUUUGGCUGUUCGCCAAUUAAAGCGGUACGCGAGCUGGGUUCAGAACGUCGUGAGACAGUUCGGUCCCUAUCUGUCGUGGGCGCAGGAUAUUUGAGGAGAGCUGUCCUUAGUACGAGAGGACCGGGAUGGACGCACCGCUGGUGCACCAGUUGUCAUGCCAAUGGCACGGCUGGGCAGCUAAGUGCGGACGGGAUAAACGCUGAAAGCAUCUAAGCGUGAAGCCCCCUCCAAGAUAAGAUAUCCCACAGCUUAAGCUGGUAAGACCCCUCAUGGACUAUGAGGUUGAUAGGCUGCAGGUGUAAGAGUAGUGAUACUUUCAGCUGGGCAGUACUAAUAGGUCGAGGGCUUGACCAU